UGGAAUUGUGGAUGGAAGCUUUGCUGCAGC
RNAcentral lists this non-coding RNA (30 nucleotides) under Mus musculus (house mouse). The record is from RNAcentral. Lineage: Eukaryota; Metazoa; Chordata; Mammalia; Rodentia; Muridae.